Molecule: non-coding RNA, 182 nt
Filed under: Desulfotomaculum sp.
Lineage: Bacteria; Bacillati; Bacillota; Clostridia; Eubacteriales; Desulfotomaculaceae
Description: 6S RNA
Rfam family: 6S / SsrS RNA
About the family: E. coli 6S RNA was the first non coding RNA to be sequenced, but its function was unknown until recently. It consists of 184 nucleotides that fold into an extended hairpin structure with a large single-stranded internal bulge.
Source: RNAcentral
AAUACCCUGCUAUGUGCGUGGUUGCCCUGAAGUUUUGAUCCAAUAUAGAAAAAGGGAGCCCGGCCUCUGGUUGUAGCUUGCAUGCCCCUUCAAGGGGACACAAAAAGCAUCCAGGGUGGCACCCACCUGUUGAAAACGGGUUCAAGAAAACUUGGGGAGGUCACGGCAUAAGUGGGGUUUUU